UUUUAUUGGGCCUAAAGCGUCCGUAGCCGGUUUAAUAAGUCUCUGGUGAAAUUCUGUAGCUUAACUGUGGGAAUUGCUGGAGAUACUAUUAGACUUGAGACCGGGAGAGGUUGGAGGUACUCCCAGGGUAGAGGUGAAAUUCUGUAAUCCUGGGAGGACCGCCUGUUGCGAAGGCGUCUAACUGGAACGGUUCUGACGGUGAGGGACGAAAGUUAGGGGCGCGAACCGGAUUAGAUACCCGGGUAGUCCUAACUGUAAACGAUGCGGACUUGGUGUUGGGGUGGCUUUGA
Molecule: ribosomal RNA, 290 nt
Filed under: uncultured archaeon
Lineage: Archaea
Description: partial 16S ribosomal RNA
Rfam family: Archaeal small subunit ribosomal RNA
Source: RNAcentral